UUGACAGCACCAGACACCCGAGCUUUCACAUCUUUCUGGUAAAACAACAGCCCAGGAAGUGCAAACUUCCCCAAACUGUCCUGCCAAUAGGCCUUUCUGACCUAAAGGGGGAUCACCUUUAUGGUGACAGGAUAAUUUGAUCUCUAUGCCAUCUAAUCCUUAUUUUCU
Unclassified non-coding RNA from Apteryx haastii (Great spotted kiwi), 168 nucleotides. The record is from Ensembl. NCBI's taxonomy places the organism in Eukaryota, Metazoa, Chordata, Aves, Apterygiformes, Apterygidae.